RNAcentral lists this ribosomal RNA (253 nucleotides) under uncultured bacterium. RNAcentral's name for it is "partial 16S ribosomal RNA". It matches the Rfam family "Bacterial small subunit ribosomal RNA", at positions 524 to 776 of the family's 1533-position model. The record is from RNAcentral. RNAcentral also lists the same sequence under 1 other name.
GACGGAGGAGGCUAGCGUUGUUCGGAAUUACUGGGCGUAAAGCGCGCGCGGGCGGUUAUGCAAGUCAGGGGUGAAAGCCCGAGGCUCAACCUCGGAACGGCCUUUGCGACUGCAUGACUAGAGACCGGGAGAGGAGAGUGGAAUUCCCAGUGUAGAGGUGAAAUUCGUAGAUAUUGGGAAGAACACCAGUGGCGAAGGCGGCUCUCUGGCCCGGACCUGACGCUGAGGCGCGAAAGCGUGGGGAGCAAACAGG